CUGGGAGACAGUUAAUGCCUGGGACACGGACUGAUCUGCUUCCUGGGUCCCUGAGCCUCUCAGGGCCCUUAGGCCAGCGGUUCUGCCCAGGAACUCAUUUCCUUCAAUAUCAGAUCCUGACUUGAGGCCAGUUGGAGAUUCUCAAGUGUUUCCUUUGCAGCAACAGAAAUCUCCAUCCAACUGAAACCAAGAGUGUUCAAAACAGAUCUGUGUGGUAGAUAUGGGAAUGGAGGCCCCAGGUGACAACAGGAGAGGCCCCUCCCCAGUCCCAUGGGGACCUUGGGGCUCAGAGAAACCCAGUGAAAUCCCUCAUCCAGGCCCCAGGCUGCUUGGGUCUUCUGGGAUCUCAAACAAACGGGAUUUGCCCUUCAACCACCCCAUAAUCUUUCUUUCUUUCUUUCUUUCCCCACUCCCCCAGGGAGAGAUCCUACACCUUUAAGAAGUGGUGCAGGGGACAGCAGCAUGUGAGCAAGAGACUGUUCCUGAAGGUAACCUGGGACUGGAGAUCUGGGAGAAGGGGUGUGAGAGGGGGCCGGGAACAUCCUGAGGGCAUCCUAGGAAGUGAGGCUAUGGUAAGGCCAUCCUGGGGUUCAGAGACCCCUGUCGGUGGGGCAGGGAGGAGAUGCCGCAUGGCCACCACCAACACCCUCUGCCCUCUCCCUCCAUGUCUCAGUUUGUCUAUUGUUGGAACACACUCUGGGAGUGCAGAGGUCAGGACGGUGGUCAGUGGUGGGGCACGGCGAUGGGUGAAGGCAGUGGGGACAGGGACUCUGGCUGGGAGGGAGAGUGGCCUCUCCUCAGUGGGUCCUUGAGCAAGUCUCUGCCCCUCUGUGGGCCUCGGUCUCCUCCUCUGGGAAAUGGGGGGAGAUGACGUGGUGCAGGCCUUAUGGCAGGGUGAUACCGUCCAAGGGAGGACAGGAAUGGGAGGAGAUUCGUGCUGGCUCCUCCUCAAGAGCUGAGGGGAGAGCAGUGAUGACAGUCAGAUGACAGGGAGUCCUCAGGAGAGCCCUGGAGGCAGGUGGAGUUCUCCCCACUCUUUCCUGAUGAGGAAAGAGUCUCAGGGAGGCCUGAGCAGGCCCAAGGUCAGACAAGAGUGAGUCCUGGAGCCAGGACUGGUCUAGAAUCAGAGCACCCUGGAGGUGGGAACAGCAUAGGCAGCAGGGGACUGGAGCCAGAUGGCCAGGGUCUGAGGUCAGGGGCCUUGAGGGACAUGUGAAAGGGAGCAGGGCCUCUCUGACCCUGUCCUCGGCACUGACAGGAGGCGACCUCCUUGUUGGUCAGUGCAUAGAGGGGCUGCCAUAGAGCCCGGGAGAGGCGGCGGCAGCAGGGUGUCAUCCCCUCCCUCAAGAUGAUCUUCAGUUACCUGGAGCUGCUGCAUGAUGAGACAGAUUAUUAUGUGGAGGGGAAUGUGCUCAGCUGUCGGAAUGAGGAAUUCAAAUUCAUCAAGGACAUCGAGAUGGUCCAGAAGGCUGCAAAUCUGUACACCGUGCAGCCCAAUGAGCAUUUUGGUGCCUGGUUCCAGGCUGUGGAGCCCCUGAGUGAGGAGGCGAGCUACAGCCUGUCCUGUCAGCUGGAGCCACAAUACCAGUGGGCCAGAAAGAUUCGACUCUUCUUCAAAGACAAGAAGAGCCACUCAUCUUCCCGCCCAGGGCUGAACACCAGGCCCCCAAAAAAGAGCCCAGCGGUGGUGGCAGAUGACGCUCCUGAGACCAGCUGAACUACAGCAGGGACACUCAGGUACACAGGUCCACCUCUCAGAUGCUGAUGUGAAUGAAAACUUUGUGAUCCAUUUCCUGGGGUCCCUGAAGGCCACAAGGCAGUGGACAAUCUGCCCAUCUCCCUCACACAUUUUCCCCAG
Long non-coding RNA from Equus asinus (donkey), 1858 nucleotides. Lineage: Eukaryota; Metazoa; Chordata; Mammalia; Perissodactyla; Equidae. The record is from Ensembl.